ACCCGUGUGGCGCAACCGGUAGCGCAAUCGGCUGUUAACCGAGCGGUUGAAGGUUCAAAUCCUUCCACGGGUGCCA
This 76-nucleotide transfer RNA is filed under the name Ruminococcaceae bacterium R-25. RNAcentral describes it as "tRNA-Asn". It matches the Rfam family "tRNA". From Rfam's summary of the family: Transfer RNA (tRNA) molecules are approximately 80 nucleotides in length. The record is from RNAcentral. Lineage: Bacteria; Bacillati; Bacillota; Clostridia; Eubacteriales; Oscillospiraceae.